AGUCAAGUGAAUAAGUGCAUCAGGUGGAUGCCUUGGCGAUGAUAGGCGAAGAAGGACGUGUAAGCCUGCGAAAAGCACGGAGAAGCUGGCAAAAAAGCAAUGAUACCGUGAUGUCCGAAUGGGGAAACCCACUGCACUCGUGCAGUAUCCUAGUCUGAAUACAUAGGGCUAGAGAAGCGAACCUGGAGAACUGAACCAUCUAAGUACCCAGAGGAAAAGAAAUCAACCGAGAUUCCGCAAGUAGUGGCGAGCGAACGCGGAAAAGCCUGUAUAUGAUAAUGGUUAAGAUAGAAGAAGGGAUUGGAAACUUCCGCCAUAGUGGGUGAUAGCCCCGUAUUUGAAAUCUUAACCAUGGUACUAAGUAUACGAGAAGUAGGGCGGGACACGUGAAAUCCUGUCUGAAUAUGGGGGGACCAUCCUCCAAGGCUAAAUACUCAUCAUCGACCGAUAGUGAACCAGUACCGUGAGGGAAAGGCGAAAAGAACCCCGGAAGGGGAGUGAAAUAGAACCUGAAACCUGAUGCAUACAUACAGUGGGAGCAUCUUUGUGGUGUGACUGCGUACCUUUUGUAUAAUGGGUCAACGACUUACAUUCAGUAGCGAGCUUAACCGAGUAGGGGAGGCGUAGGGAAACCGAGUCUUAAUAGGGCGACUAGUUGCUGGGUGUAGACCCGAAACCGAGUGAUCUAUCCAUGGCCAGGAUGAAGGUGCGGUAAAACGCAUUGGAGGUCCGAACCCACGCAUGUUGCAAAAUGUGGGGAUGAGCUGUGGAUAGGGGUGAAAGGCUAAACAAACUCGGAGAUAGCUGGUUCUCCCCGAAAACUAUUUAGGUAGUGCCUCGAGUAUGAGACUGAUGGGGGUAAAGCACUGUUAUGGCUAGGGGGUUAUUGCAACUUACCAACCCAUGGCAAACUAAGAAUACCA
This 923-nucleotide ribosomal RNA is filed under the name Kingella kingae. RNAcentral describes it as "partial 23S ribosomal RNA". It matches the Rfam family "Bacterial large subunit ribosomal RNA", at positions 1 to 965 of the family's 2925-position model. The record is from RNAcentral. Lineage: Bacteria; Pseudomonadati; Pseudomonadota; Betaproteobacteria; Neisseriales; Neisseriaceae.